CGCGGUGUAGCUCAGCUGGAUAGAGCGCCCUGCUGUCGGCAUACAAUGGAUGUGGCAAUCUGAUUGUAUGGGCGGGGAGGUCGCAGGUUCAAGUCCUGCCACUGCGC
RNAcentral lists this transfer RNA (107 nucleotides) under Bradyrhizobium lablabi. RNAcentral's name for it is "tRNA_Pseudo_Pseudo". It matches the Rfam family "tRNA". Rfam says of the family: Transfer RNA (tRNA) molecules are approximately 80 nucleotides in length. Lineage: Bacteria; Pseudomonadati; Pseudomonadota; Alphaproteobacteria; Hyphomicrobiales; Nitrobacteraceae. RNAcentral also lists the same sequence under 1 other name. The record is from RNAcentral.